GAGAGCCGGAUGACGGGAGACUGUCACGUCCGGUUCCGUGGGAGCGCAGGGGGGAGUUCCCUCGCGCGACCUGAU
RNAcentral lists this non-coding RNA (75 nucleotides) under Serratia odorifera DSM 4582. Lineage: Bacteria; Pseudomonadati; Pseudomonadota; Gammaproteobacteria; Enterobacterales; Yersiniaceae. The record is from RNAcentral.